This 497-nucleotide ribosomal RNA is filed under the name uncultured bacterium. RNAcentral describes it as "partial 16S ribosomal RNA". It matches the Rfam family "Bacterial small subunit ribosomal RNA", at positions 28 to 507 of the family's 1533-position model. The record is from RNAcentral.
GAUGAACGCUGGCGGCGUGCCUAAUACAUGCAAGUCGAGCGAACGGACGAGAAGCUUGCUUCUCUGAUGUUAUCGGCGGACGGGUGAGUAACACGUGGAUAACCUACCUAUAAGACUGGGAUAACUUCGGGAAACCGGAGCUAAUACCGGAUAAUAUUUUGAACCGCAUGGUUCAAAAGUGAAAGACGGUCUUGCUGUCACUUAUAGAUGGAUCCGCGCUGCAUUAGCUAGUUGGUAAGGUAACGACUUACCAAGGCAACGAUGCAUAGCCGACCUGAGAGGGUGAGCGGCCACACUGGAACUGAGACACGGUCCAGACUCCUACGGGAGGCAGCAGUAGGGAAUCUUCCGCAAUGGGCGAAAGCCUGACGGAGCAACGCCGCGUGAGUGAUGAAGGUCUUCGGAUCGUAAAACUCUGUUAUUAGGGAAGAACAUAUGUGUAAGUAACUGUGCACAUCUUGACGGUACCUAAUCAGAAAGCCACGGCUAACUACGUG